UACAUCUCCUUCCUCAUGGAUCCACUUCUGGCUUAGAUUCAAAAAGUAGAAAUCCAGUCGUGUGAAUUCUAUUUGUGGAAGCUGGAAUCAGGAUUUCUGUGGCAGAUGUUUCCGUUGCGGAAGUUCUGCUGUGUGCACGAUGCAGCAAAAUCCAUUGAUCCACUGUGUGAACAUGGCCUAAAGGUGAAUGGACAUGGGGCAGUUUUGUUGGGACUGAAAAUGAGUUCUAUUCAUCUGUAUAGGGUUGGCUUGGAGGCAAGCAUAUGGAUUUUUGCAAGUCCCAUUCAGUUGAUUGGGACAGUUACAGACAUUUCAGCAAAACCUUCCCUAAAUCCGAAGCAUGUAAUUUCUUUCUACAGAUUUUCUACACGGUCGAUUUCACCCUUUGUUCUGUAGGGGAAUUAAAUCAAUUGCAAAUCUGCAGCUAGAUCUGCAUUUUUAACAAGUGGAUUUGACACAGAUGUGAACCGGAAUUCUACAGUGGUUUUGCAGCAGGGAGUACUGGACCCAUGCAUUAUAUUCCAAUGUGAUCUGAGGCCCGCUUCGAUUGUGAGUUAUAACUAAGGUGACAACUAUAGAUCAUAUUAUUUUGAGACUGAAGACUAAAUGGCUGUGAAGUCCGGUAACAUUGCAGAGACAAAUCUUAGGGUUACCUUGGGCAAUGAAGGAGUUAAUCUCUGCAAGUCUCCGCCAGUAUGAAAACGAAUAAUUUCUGUAGCAUUACAUUUGUGAUGUCACUGUCUGUGGAUACAGAACUCGAAUCGACCCUGCUUAUGUAAAUUGUGCCUGCAUUCCACCAAUCGCAGUGAAUGGCUACAAAGAAAAUAUCAUGGCAACAACCAAUCACAACACCCUGAUGAGAUCUCUAGCAGGAGAUGGAGAGAAGCAUUUCUUGUGUUGUUUCCCAGUGACACACUUUAAGGAAUAACAUGGCUGCUUCUUGUGCAGGAAUUUAAGCUUUUCUUGGGUUUUAACCCAUACCAUGUAUUUCUACAUAUUACAUAAAACCUUUUUGUCUUUACGUUGCAGAAUGGUGAGUUAUCGCAGCAUAUAGCAACCUGCAAUAUGAUAAUGCUAGAUACAUAGCAAGGUCAAAGAGAGACAGUCUUAACAAACCAUGUACAGACAUGAAUGCAUGAAGAUGUGUCUAAUUCUAGCAGUGGACAUGGUGAAGUGUUUUACAGAGAUCUAAGCUGUAGGGGAUAUUGUUUCUUCUCCUGGAAGCUGAAAGAGGGAGCGUUUCAUGCAAUAAUUCCUGGGAAAAGAUAUGCCAUUUGCUUUUUUGAGUUCAAAAGGUAUUUAUUGAUUGAAGGAAAAAGUGAAUACAUUACAGAAAACCAUUUGCCUUGGAUAAAAAGAGCACUGUAAAUAGGUAUAAUGAAAGUGGUUCUACAAGAGAUUAUCAUGACCAUGACUAUUAUGGAAUAAUAAACUGAAAAUAUUCAUUUAUGAGCAAUGGGCUCCUUCCCAUAAAGUACAGGACAGUGGAAGAAUAAAACAAAAAAAAAACAGGUCUGUAUCUAAGGACAUUCCACAGCCCAAUUUUAUGGGAUGUAGGUCAUUACCUUGGAGUUAUCUAUAGAAAUGUUGCCAUCACAUAAUCUUUUAUAAUGUAAUAUGAAACAUAAUACAGUAUUAGGACAA
Hyla sarda is the source of this 1644-nucleotide long non-coding RNA. RefSeq lists it as uncharacterized. The transcript is spliced from 3 exons. NCBI's taxonomy places the organism in Eukaryota, Metazoa, Chordata, Amphibia, Anura, Hylidae. The record is from RefSeq and is a predicted model, not a curated record.